Molecule: ribosomal RNA, 419 nt
Filed under: bacterium
Lineage: Bacteria
Description: partial 16S ribosomal RNA
Rfam family: Bacterial small subunit ribosomal RNA
Source: RNAcentral
UGGGGGAUAUUGCACAAUGGGCGAAAGCCUGAUGCAGCGACGCCGCGUGGGGGAUGAAGGCCUUCGGGUUGUAAACUUCUUUUGCUCUGAACAAGGCAUGCUAAUGGGUGUGUUGAGUGUAGGGGUUGAUUAGCGCCGGCUAACUACGUGCCAGCAGCCGCGGUAAUACGUAGGGCGCGAGCGUUGUCCGGAAUUAUUGGGCGUAAAGGGCUUGUAGGUGGCUGGUUGCGUCUGUCGUGAAAGCUCAUGGCUUAACUGUGGGUUUGCGGUGGGUACGGGUUGGCUUGAGUGCAGUAGGGGAGGCUGGAAUUCCUGGUGUAGCGGUGGAAUGCGCAGAUAUCAGGAGGAAUACCGGUGGCGAAGGCGGGUCUCUGGGCUGUUACUGACACUGAGGAGCGAAAGCAUGGGGAGCGAACAGG